RNAcentral lists this ribosomal RNA (807 nucleotides) under uncultured Ostreococcus. RNAcentral describes it as "bacterial SSU rRNA". It matches the Rfam family "Bacterial small subunit ribosomal RNA", at positions 383 to 1213 of the family's 1533-position model. Lineage: Eukaryota; Viridiplantae; Chlorophyta; Mamiellophyceae; Mamiellales. The record is from RNAcentral.
CUGACGGAGCGACGCUGCGUGAAGGAUGACGGCCUGCGGGUUGUAAACUUCUUUUCUCGAAGAAGAAUAAAUGACGGUAUUCGAGGAAUAAGCAUCGGCUAACUCUGUGCCAGCAGCCGCGGUAAGACAGAGGAUGCAAGUGUUAUUCGGAUUGAUUGGGCGUAAAGCGUCUGUAGGCGGUUUGGAAAGUCUUUUGUGAAAUUCUUCAGCUCAACUGGGGGUCCGCAAAAGAAACUUCUAGGCUUGAGGGAAGUAGAGGUACAGGGAAUUUCCGGUGGAGCGGUGAAAUGCGUAGAUAUCGGAAGGAACACCAAUAUGGCGAAGGCACUGUACUGGGCUUUACCUGACGCUAAGAGACGAAAGCUAAAGGAGUGAUUAGGAUUAGAUACCCUAGUAAUUUUAGCCGUAAACGAUGGAAACUCACUGCCGAGCCGGUAUUCGGAGCGGUGGUCAAGCUAACGCGUGAAGUUUCCCGCCUGGGGACUACGCAUGCAAAUGUGAAACUCAAAGGAAUUGACGGGGACCCGCACAAGCGGUGGAGUAUGUGGUUUAAUUCGAUGCAACGCGAAAAACCUUACCAAGGUUUGAAAUCAUUUCAAAACUCUUUGAAAGAAGAGCCUCCUUCGGGAUGGAAUGACAGGUGGUGCAUGGCUGUCGUCAGCUCGUGUUGUGAAAUGUCAAGUUAAGUCUUGUAACGAGCGCAACCUAUGUUUUUUGUUGUUGUUUACAGUGCUUAAAAGAGACUGCCGCUCUACAGCGGAGGAAGGUGUGGAUGAUGUCAAGUCAGCAUGCCCCUUAUAUCUUGGG